Tympanuchus pallidicinctus (lesser prairie-chicken) is the source of this 572-nucleotide long non-coding RNA. RefSeq lists it as uncharacterized. The transcript is spliced from 5 exons. Lineage: Eukaryota; Metazoa; Chordata; Aves; Galliformes; Phasianidae. The record is from RefSeq and is a predicted model, not a curated record.
GAACCACGGGACGGUUGGGUUGGAAAGGUCCUUAAAGAUCAUAGAGCCACGGGAUGGUUGGAUUGGAAAGGUCCUUAAAGAUCAUAGAGUCACGGGAUGGUUGGAUUGGAAAGGUCCUUAAAGAUCAUAGAGUCACAGGAUGGUUGGAUUGGAAAGGUCCUUAAAGAUCAUAGAGUCACGGGAUGGUUGGAUUGGAAAGGUCCUUAAAGAUCAUAGAGUCACAGGAUGGUUGGAUUGGAAAGGUCCUUAAAGAUCAUAGAGUCACGGGAUGGUUGUAUUGGAAAGGUCCUUAAAGAUCAUAGAGCCAUGGGAUGGUUGGAUUGGAAAGGUCCUUAAAGAUCAUAGAGUCAUAGGAUGGUUGGAUUGGAAAGGUCCUUAAAGAUCAUAGAGCCACGGGAUGGUUGGAUUGGAAAGGUCCUUAAAGAUCAUAGAGCCAUGGGAUGGUUGGAUUGGAAAGGUCCUUAAAGAUCAUAGAGCCACGGGAUGGUUGGAUUGGAAAGGUCCUUAAAGAUCAUAGAGCCACGGGAUGGUUGGAUUGGAAAGGUCCUUAAAGAUCAUAGAGCCAUGGGAUG